AUGCUCCCUCGUGUCCAGAGGUCGACGUCCCCUCCAGUCCAGAGGUUGACGUUCCCUCCAGUCCAGAGGUCUACGCUCCCUCCAGUCCAGAGGUCGACGUUCCCUCCAGUCCAGAGGUCGACGUUCCCUCCAGUCCAACGUCUCCGCCGUCUCCAGUCCAGUGGUCAACGGCAUCUCCAGUCCAGUGGUCAACGCGGUCUCCAGUCCCGUGGUCGACGCCUUCUCCAGUCCCGUGGUCGACGCCGCCGCCUCCAGCCCAGAGGCCAAGGAUGCUGCCUCCAGCCUAGAAGCCGAAGACGUCGCCUCCAGCCCAGAGGCCGCCGACGCCGCCUCCAGCCCAGAGUUCGACGACGCUGCCUCCAGUCCAAUGGUCGUCGCCACCGCCUCCAGUCCCGUGGUCGACGCCGUCUCCAGUCCCGUGGUCGACGCCAUCUCCAGUCCCGUGGUCGACGUCUUCUUCAGUCCCGUGGUCAACUCUGUCUCCAGCCCAGAGGCCGAGGACGCCGCCUCCAGCCCAGAGGCCAACAAUGCCGCCUCCAGCCCAGAGGUCGACGAUGCUGCCUCCAGCCCAGAGGCCGAAGCCGCCGCCUCCAUCCCAGAGGCCAACGACGCCGCCUCCAGUCCCGUGGUCGCCUCCAGUCCCGUGGUCGACGCCGUCUCCAGUCCCGUGGUCGACACCUUCUCCAGUCCUGUGGUCGAUGCCGUCUCCAGCCCAGAGGCCGAGGAUGCCGCCUCCAGCCCAGAGGCCGACGACGGCGCCUCCAGCCCAGAGGUCGACGACGCCGCCUCCAGCCCAGAGGCCGACGACGCCGCCUCCAGCCCAGAGGUCGACGCCGCCGCCUCCAGUCCAGAGGUUGUCGCCACCGCCUCCAGUCCCGUGGUCGACGCAGUCUCCAGUCUCGUGGUCAACUCCGUCUCCAGUCCCGUGGUAAACGCCUUCUCCAGUCCCGUGGUCGACGCCGUCUCCAGCCCAGAGGCCGACGCCUCCAGCCCAGGGGCCGACGAUGUCGCCUCCAGCCCAGAGGCCGACGACGUCGCCUCCAGCCCAGAGGCCGACGCCGACGACUCCAGCCCAGAGGUCGACGCCGACGCCUCCAGCCCAGAGGUCGACGCCGCCGCCUCCAGUCCAGAGGUCGUCGCCGCCGCCUCCAGUCCAGAAGCAGACAACGCCGCCUCCAGCCCAGAGGUUGUCGCCGCCGCCUCCAGUCCAGAAGCCAAGGACGUCUCCUCCGGCGUCUCUGCCUCCGGUCACCGCCGGUCCUGCCCUCAUCAGGCGCGGGCCCCCAAGAGCCGUCGGCGUCCCCUCCUCUGCCACAGACGCAGGCCCCCAAGAGCCCAUCCUCGUCUCCUCCUCUGCCCCAGACGCAGGCCCCCAAGAGCUCGUCGUUUUUCCUCCUCUGCCCCAGACGCAGGUCCCCGGACUUUACUGGUUCCUGCCUCCUCUCCACCGGUCCCUCGGUUCCUCUUGGCCCUCCUUUCUGGUCCCCCUCCUCCCGCCCUGCUCUGUGUUCCUGUGUGCUCUGUGUUCCUGUGUGCCUCUCAUUUUCCAAUCACCCAAGCUCCCAGCUCUCAUGUAUUUAA
This is a long non-coding RNA of Nothobranchius furzeri (turquoise killifish), 1581 nucleotides long. The record is from Ensembl. NCBI's taxonomy places the organism in Eukaryota, Metazoa, Chordata, Actinopteri, Cyprinodontiformes, Nothobranchiidae.